AGUGAACGCUGGCGGUAGGCCUAACACAUGCAAGUCGAACGGCAGCACAGUAAGAGCUUGCUCUUACGGGUGGCGAGUGGCGGACGGGUGAGGAAUACAUCGGAAGCUACUUUUUCGUGGGGGAUAACGUAGGGAACCUUACGCUAAUACCGCAUACGACCUACGGGUGAAAGCAGGGGAUCUUCGGCCCUUGCGCGAUUGAAUGAGCCGAUGUCGGAUUAGCUAGUUGGCGGGGUAAAGGCCCACCAAGGCGACGAUCCGUAGCUGGUCUGAGAGGAUGAUCAGCCACACUGGAACUGAGACACGGUCCAGACUCCUACGGGAGGCAGCAGUGGGGAAUAUUGGACAAUGGGCGCAAGCCUGAUCCAGCCAUACCGCGUGGGUGAAGAAGGCCUUCGGGUUGUAAAGCCCUUUUGUUGGGAAAGAAAAGCAGCAGGUUAAUACCCCGCUGUUCUGACGUUACCCAAAGAAUAAGCACCGGCUAACUUCGUG
RNAcentral lists this ribosomal RNA (492 nucleotides) under uncultured bacterium. Its description in RNAcentral is "partial 16S ribosomal RNA". It matches the Rfam family "Bacterial small subunit ribosomal RNA", at positions 29 to 507 of the family's 1533-position model. The record is from RNAcentral.